This 325-nucleotide long non-coding RNA is filed under the name Vitis vinifera (wine grape). RNAcentral describes it as "long non-coding RNA (VVIN_LNC006458)". Lineage: Eukaryota; Viridiplantae; Streptophyta; Magnoliopsida; Vitales; Vitaceae. The record is from RNAcentral.
CUACCUGUGUCAGCUAGUUGAGUGCUGCUCAGAGGGUCCAUCAUGGUUCUUUAAGCAUAUGCAUGAAUGCAUUUUGAAAUUUGGACACCUCCACAAGCCCCAUGAAACUGACUGUGCAUGCCUGGUCUGGUGUCUUAAUGCAGAGGAGAAGGCGAUGGUUCCAUCCUUUACAUGAUGACUGUCCAAAAGUAACAAUACAUAUACACAUGUUAUACACGAAAAUGUACAUUAAAAAAAAAAGGAUACUUUUGAAGGAGAGCGGUCGAAGGCAAUGAGCCACGCACCCAUGUCCAGGUACUCCUAACCCAUACCUGCCAUCAGAAAA